GUGCCGGCGAGUGGCGAACGGGUGAGUAAUGCAUCGGAACGUGCCCAGAGGUGGGGGAUAACGCAGCGAAAGCUGUGCUAAUACCGCAUACGAUCUGAGGAUGAAAGCGGGGGACCUUCGGGCCUCGCGCGGUCGGAGCGGCCGAUGUCGGAUUAGCUAGUUGGUGGGGUAAAGGCCUACCAAGGCGACGAUCCGUAGCUGGUCUGAGAGGACGGCCAGCCACACUGGGACUGAGACACGGCCCAGACUCC
RNAcentral lists this ribosomal RNA (251 nucleotides) under uncultured Tepidimonas sp. RNAcentral describes it as "partial 16S ribosomal RNA". It matches the Rfam family "Bacterial small subunit ribosomal RNA", at positions 85 to 339 of the family's 1533-position model. The record is from RNAcentral. Lineage: Bacteria; Pseudomonadati; Pseudomonadota; Betaproteobacteria; Burkholderiales.